This 2572-nucleotide long non-coding RNA is filed under the name Lynx pardinus (Iberian lynx). The record is from RNAcentral. Lineage: Eukaryota; Metazoa; Chordata; Mammalia; Carnivora; Felidae.
CCAAAGCAGGCUCUGUGCUAUCAGCAUAGAGCCCAACGCGGGGUUUGAACUCACAGACCAUGAGAUCAUGAUCUAAGCUGAAGUCGGACACUUAACCAACUGAGCCACCCAGGCACCCCAAGAAUUAAAGUUUUAAUUACUGAGUGGGACAUAGUGACUUUUUAACAACAGAGAAAAACAAAAUCCCAGUACCUGGGAGGCUCAGGGGAUAAGAGGAGAGAGCAUCACUGAUCUUGGCUUUUCAGAACUGUUCUGGCUUGGAACUGAUGGCCUCAAGUAGUCCCUCUUAAGCUAAUAACUCAAGGGAAUUAUUUGGACCGCAGCCAGAACCCUAGGAUAGGAGGUCCCACCUGGGGAGUCCUGAUACCUUGACUUUCAGACAAAUACACGCCCUCCUAGGGGGGCCCUGACACUGUAAACUCUGUUUCAGGUGGGGGGGCAGGUUUGGCCUCUGGGACUGUACUUCUUCUGUGAGUCCCCCGGACAUCAUGAUAUUCAUUGCCUGUGCCCCGGAAGGUGUUCAAAGCAGCUUCAACUUACUGGCCACAGUUGUGCUGUGCUGAAUCCUUGUGCCUCUGCUCAGGUAAAGAAAGGCUCGUACAGAAAUGUUAAGAAGCCAUUUCCUUGUCUAAGAUAAACCUUUGUGAUUCGUGGGUUUCAUUUCACCUGGGUCCAAGAUCUCUGUAUGGCAUAACCAAGUUCAGUGAUGUAUGCUGGUCUCACCCAGCUGCGUGGGGUCCUACUGAUCAUGUUUUGUUCUCAAGAUGCCUUGGCCCAAGACAAAGGGCAUGUGCAGAAAAGAGUUAACCUAGCAGUUCUAGAAAGGCAUGCUUAUAAGGUUGGCCCUUGGCUGGCAUCUGAAAAUGUGGAUUUGGGGAGGGUUCCAGUUUCUUUGAAUGGGUGCACCAGGGUUUGUUAGCAUUUCUCAUUAACCUCUAUAAUCCACUUAUUGACAAAUCAAAGUGGGAGUCUUGGUUACAAGACAGAACAUAGGGAUGCUUGGGUGGCUUAGUCAGUUAAGCAGCCGGCUUCGGCUCAGGUCAUGAUCUUGGGGUUCGUGAGUUCAAGCCCUGCGUCGGGCUCUGUGUGGACAGCUCAGAGCCUGAAGCCUGCUUAGGAUUCUGUGUCUCCCUCUUUUUCUGCCUCUCCCCCACUUGUGCUUUCUCUGUCUCUGUCUCUCUCUGUCUCUGUCUCUCUCUCUCUCAAAAAUAAACAUUUUUAAAAAAUUUAGAGCACUGCCAAACUCUUUUCCAUGGUGGCUGAGCCGUUUACAUUCUCACCAGAAAUGCAGGAGGGUUCCAAUUCCUCCCCAUCCUCACUAACAGUUGUUGGCCAUCCAUUGAUUCUAGACAUUUCAGCUUUCCUUGAAGUGAUGCUUCAUUGUGGUUUUGAUUUGCAUUUCCCUAAUGACUAGUAAUGUUGAUUUUUAUGUGCUUAUUGCCAAUUUGCAUAUCCUCUUUGGAGAAAUCUCUACGCAUAUCCUUUGCCUAUUUUUAUUUUUUAAAGUUUAUUUAGAGAGAGAGUGUGUGUGUGUGCAGGCGUGUGGGCGAGUGGGGGAAGGGCAGAGAGAGGGAGAGAAUCCCUAGCAGGCUCCGUGUUGUCAGCUCAGAGCCCCAAGCAGGGCUCGAUCUCACGAACCUAGAGAUCAUGACCUGAGCUGAAAUCAAGAAUCAGACACUUAACCGACUGAGCUACCAGUGCCCCUCUUUGCCUAUUUUUAAAUUAUAUUACUUGCCUUUUAAUUAUUGAAUUGUAAGAGUUCCUCCUAUAUUCUAGAAUAGAGUCCCUUCUCAGAUAUAUGAUUUGCAAUAAUUGUUCCCAUCCUGUGGGUUCUUUUCACUUUCUUGAUGGUGUCAUUUGCAACACAAAAGUUGUAAUUUUGAUGAAGCCCAAUUUAUCUACUUUUUAUUAGUCAUCUGUGUAUUUUGUGUGUAUCGAAGAAGAGACACUGACUUGUUUCUUUUUUUUUUUUAAGAUUUUAUUUUUCAGGCUCUGUGCUGACAGCAGAGAGCCUGACACGGGGCUCGAACUCACGAACUGUGAGAUCAUGACCUGAACUGAAGUCUGAUGCUUAACUGCUUGAGAUACCCAGGCACCCUGAGACUGAGUUUUUAACUUAAGAAAAGAUCUUUAGCUGAGAGAAUGGGAUCUGUUUCCAAGUUGUCACCUUGGAAGGCAGAGCACCUUAAAAUAAUAAUAAUAACAAUAAUAAUAAUAAUAAUAACAAAAACUCUGAUUUUCUGGUCACUGAUUUAUGUGUCAGGCACCGUGCUAAGCACAUUAUAUACUGUGCUCUUUACUCAUUAAAUCCCCAAAUAACCCUCAGAGGUAAGUGCUAUCGACAUCCCCAUUUUACAGAUUAGAAAACAGAGGCUCAGAGAGGUGUCUGAGCACAGCGAAAAAGUGACAGAACUGAGAAAUGAACCAGGCCUGACUCUCUCCAAAGCCUACAAGCUAGCCACUUCCAGCCAUGAUGUCAUUACUCAGAUAUUUUGGGAAAUGCUUUGGGAAUGACCUCUGAGCCCAUUUUCAAGCAGCAGGAAAAACAAACAAACAAACAAACAAAAAUCCA